UACCCUUAAAAAAAAAAAAAAUCAAUCCGUCAAUAAAUCAGUAAAAUUUUAAAAAACUACGCAGGCCAAGGGUCUGGCUCUAUGUGGCGGUCAUCAGGUUUGUGGCCCUGAGGAGAACUUUGGAAAAGCUCUAGUGGGGUCCCCUGUCUUUCUCAACACCCCUAGAAAGCACCAGGCCUCUUCCUGAGCUUCCAGGGACCCGGAUGGAAAGAAAGCCAGGUGUGUCUGGGUGGGCCAAGCUGGGUCCUUUUCAGCGGGGCUUUUGCAAAACUCUCUGGGACCUGGAGCCGGGUUCAAAACUCCCUUUAAUCCGCUCCCCUCAAACACACUCCCCCUUUCUCUCUCUCUCUUUCUCUGUGUCUCUCUCUCCCCCGGGCCCUUGUUACCCUUAAAAAAAAAAAAAAAAAUCAAUCCGUCAAUAAAUCAGUAAAAUUUUAAAAAACU
Long non-coding RNA from Antechinus flavipes (yellow-footed antechinus), 444 nucleotides. RefSeq lists it as uncharacterized. The transcript is spliced from 2 exons. The record is from RefSeq and is a predicted model, not a curated record. NCBI's taxonomy places the organism in Eukaryota, Metazoa, Chordata, Mammalia, Dasyuromorphia, Dasyuridae.